Molecule: long non-coding RNA, 366 nt
Filed under: Locusta migratoria (migratory locust)
Lineage: Eukaryota; Metazoa; Arthropoda; Insecta; Orthoptera; Acrididae
Description: partial Lnc70353
Source: RNAcentral
UUUAAAAAUCAAGAUGUUAUGUGUGUGAUUAAUUUCCCUUAUGAAUUUCGAUCAGUUUGAUUAUUAAUAACUUUAGGGGUCUUAAAAUGUUUUUAUCACUUAUUUUCUGUAAAUGUGACAGUUACACAGCUUGCAAGUGAUUGUAACUAGCACCAUAUAUAAAGAACUAUUCUCCAGUUUUUUACCACAAUGCUAAUGGACAAUAGCUUAAUUUGCUGCAGUAGCAGUAGUAAAAGAAACUUGACAUUGCUUUACUUUUGUAUAGUUCACCUGCAGGAUCAGGUAGAUAAUGAUGUGGACAAAUGCAGUGCAGGGCGUCCACAUGAAACCUUGGAAGUCUGAAUGAUGUUUGCAUGUCUGUCAGAA